Long non-coding RNA from Leptidea sinapis, 955 nucleotides. RefSeq lists it as uncharacterized. The transcript is spliced from 2 exons. The record is from RefSeq and is a predicted model, not a curated record. NCBI's taxonomy places the organism in Eukaryota, Metazoa, Arthropoda, Insecta, Lepidoptera, Pieridae.
GAUUUGUCGAACGUAGUGUUUUGUUGCAGGCAAAUUUUACCGUUAUUUUUAGGUGAAUUUUACGUCAUGGGAAAAACGCAGAAAAACAAGCCCAAAUCUAGAAUUAGACAGCGAAAAUCAAAGCGCGUAAUAGGAUCUCGUGGAUACAAAAAUUACUCGGAAGAAAUGUUACGCUAGCUAGCUUGUCAAGCAGUUUCUUCUUCAAUUUGGCAUCCCAAGACGCACUAUUGUUAACAAAAUUAAGAAACUGCAUUCGAAGUCUGUUGGGCAUCCUACGCAUUUAAGAGAGGAGGAAUAAAACAAACUUGAGCGAGUCUUGCAAGCGUCUAGCGAUUUCGGCUACGCCUUCACUAAAUUGGAUCUUAAACUAAUAGUUUAUGAAUAUUUGAAAAAGAAUUCUCGAGAACAUGUGUUCAAUAUUCCAGGAGAUGCAUGGGUGCAAAGCUAUUUAGCUAGACAUGCUGAUAACUUAAGUGUAAGAAUGACACAAAAAUAAAAAUUAAAAUAAAUCAACAACACGAGUAGAAAAGGGGCCAAAAGAAAUGGCUGAUAAUUUUGCAAAUUUAAGCAUAACUUUGAAAGACAUCCAAGGAACAAACAUUAUCAAUUUUGACGAAACUUAUCUUUCGGAUGACCCAGGAUCAUCAAAGUGUAUAUUCCGACGCGGGGUAAGAUAUCCUGAAAGGGUUGCCAAUUCCACUAAAGGAAACAUAUCCGUUAUGUUCACAGCAAUAGCGAAUGGCCAUUCCUUACCCUUGUAUGUAGUGUAUAAAGCUACAAUCUUAUAUUCUGAAUGGAUUACUGGAGUACGGCCGGGUACAAGGUACAAUUUCACUAAAUCAGUAUGGUUUGACAGCGCCAUGUUUGAAUUCACAAAAUAUACUUUAUUCGUUCUAAUUUUAAGUUUGUCAAACUUUGAUAUAACAUUUUUUUCUAAAUACAUGUUUUGAUUCUA